UUUAAAUGUAAAUUUAUUGUUCAAAGAAGUAUUAGUUAUGAUCUUGAAAUUUAAAAAUUUUGGCGGUAUUUUAGUCUAUUCAGAGGAAUCUGUUCUAUAAUCGAUAGUCCACGAUAUAAUAUACUUAAUUUAAAAAUUUGUAUAUCGUUGUUAUUAAAUAUCUUAUAAGAGUAAAUGUUUAAGAAUUUUUUUAAAAAAGAUUUCAAAUCAAGGUGCAGUUUAUAGUUAAGAAGAAAUGGGUUACAAUAAAUUUAUUUAAAUGGAUUUAUAUAUGAAAUAUAUAAUGAAGGUGGAUUUGAAAGUAAUAUAAUUUAUUUUAGUUAUAUGAUUUUAGCUCUAAAA
Molecule: ribosomal RNA, 342 nt
Filed under: Rhithrodytes sexguttatus
Lineage: Eukaryota; Metazoa; Arthropoda; Insecta; Coleoptera; Dytiscidae
Description: partial 12S ribosomal RNA
Source: RNAcentral